GAUGAAGAACGCAGCGAAAUGCGAUAAGUAGUGUGAAUUGCAGAAUUCAGUGAAUCAUCGAAUCUUUGAACGCACAUUGCGCCCCUUGGUAUCCCGAGGGGCAUGCCUGUUCGAGCGUCAUUUCACCACUCAAGCCUGGCUUGGUGUUGGGCGACGUCCCCUUUGGGGACGCGCCUCGAAACGCUCGGCGGCGUGGCACCGGCUUUAAGCGUAGCAGAAUCUUUCGCUUUGGAAGUCGGGGCCCCGUCUGCCGGAAGACCUACUCGCAAGGUUGAUCUCGGAUCAGGCAGGGAUACCCGCUGAACUUAAGCAUAUCAAUAAGCGGAGGA
Molecule: unclassified non-coding RNA, 329 nt
Filed under: soil metagenome
Description: partial contains 5.8S ribosomal RNA, internal transcribed spacer 2, and large subunit ribosomal RNA
Rfam family: 5.8S ribosomal RNA (bases 1-120)
Source: RNAcentral